This is a non-coding RNA of Podarcis lilfordi (Lilford's wall lizard), 72 nucleotides long. The record is from the annotation of a GenBank genome assembly. Lineage: Eukaryota; Metazoa; Chordata; Lepidosauria; Squamata; Lacertidae.
UGAUAGGUCAGCUGGUAGAGCAUGAGAGUCUUCAUCUCAGGGUUCUGGGUUCAAGCUCCAUGAUGGGCAAAA